This 496-nucleotide ribosomal RNA is filed under the name uncultured bacterium. RNAcentral describes it as "partial 16S ribosomal RNA". It matches the Rfam family "Bacterial small subunit ribosomal RNA", at positions 28 to 506 of the family's 1533-position model. The record is from RNAcentral.
GAUGAACGCUGGCGGCGUGCCUAAUACAUGCAAGUCGAGCGAACAGAUGAGGAGCUUGCUCCUCUGACGUUAGCGGCGGACGGGUGAGUAACACGUGGAUAACCUACCUAUAAGACUGGGAUAACUUCGGGAAACCGGAGCUAAUACCGGAUAAUAUAUUGAACCGCAUGGUUCAAUAGUGAAAGACGGUUUUGCUGUCACUUAUAGAUGGAUCCGCGCCGCAUUAGCUAGUUGGUAAGGUAACGGCUUACCAAGGCAACGAUGCGUAGCCGACCUGAGAGGGUGAUCGGCCACACUGGAACUGAGACACGGUCCAGACUCCUACGGGAGGCAGCAGUAGGGAAUCUUCCGCAGUGGGCGAAAGCCUGACGGAGCAACGCCGCGUGAGUGAUGAAGGUCUUCGGAUCGUAAAACUCUGUUAUUAGGGAAGAACAAAUGUGUAAGUAACUAUGCACGUCUUGACGGUACCUAAUCAGAAAGCCACGGCUAACUACGU